RNAcentral lists this transfer RNA (75 nucleotides) under Mycoplasma sp. 'Moose RK'. RNAcentral's name for it is "tRNA-Asn". It matches the Rfam family "tRNA". Rfam says of the family: Transfer RNA (tRNA) molecules are approximately 80 nucleotides in length. Lineage: Bacteria; Bacillati; Mycoplasmatota; Mollicutes; Mycoplasmatales; Mycoplasmataceae. The record is from RNAcentral.
GCCGAUUUAGCUCAGAGGCAGAGCAGCUGGCUGUUAACCAGUUGGUCGCAGGUUCGAUCCCCGCAAUCGGCGCCA